Molecule: ribosomal RNA, 492 nt
Filed under: uncultured bacterium
Lineage: Bacteria
Description: partial 16S ribosomal RNA
Rfam family: Bacterial small subunit ribosomal RNA
Source: RNAcentral
AGUGAACGCUGGCGGUAGGCCUAACACAUGCAAGUCGAACGGCAGCACAGUAAGAGCUUGCUCUUACGGGUGGCGAGUGGCGGACGGGUGAGGAAUACAUCGGAAUCUACUUUUUCGUGGGGGAUAACGUAGGGAAACUUACGCUAAUACCGCAUACGACCUACGGGUGAAAGCAGGGGAUCUUCGGACCUUGCGCGAUUGAAUGAGCCGAUGUCGGAUUAGCUAGUUGGCGGGGUAAAGGCCCACCAAGGCGACGAUCCGUAGCUGGUCUGAGAGGAUGAUCAGCCACACUGGAACUGAGACACGGUCCAGACUCCUACGGGGGGCAGCAGUGGGGAAUAUUGGACAAUGGGUGCAAGCCUGAUCCAGCCAUACCGCGUGGGUGAAGAAGGCCUUCGGGUUGUAAAGCCCUUUUGUUGGGAAAGAAAAGCAGCAGGUUAAUACCCCGCUGUUCUGACGGUACCCAAAGAAUAAGCACCGGCUAACUUCGUG